AACGUAGGAGACUAGCGUUAUCCGGAUUUACUGGGCGUAAAGCGUGUGCAGGCGGUUCGGCAAGUUGGAUGUGAAAUCUCCCGGCUCAACUGGGAGGGGUCGUUCAAUACUACCGAACUUGAGGGCAUCAGAGGAAGGUGGAAUUCCGGGUGUAGUGGUGAAAUGCGUAGAUAUCCGGAGGAACACCAGUGGCGAAGGCGGCCUUCUGGGAUGUUCCUGACGCUCAGACACGAAAGCUAGGGGAGCGAACGGG
RNAcentral lists this ribosomal RNA (253 nucleotides) under uncultured bacterium. RNAcentral's name for it is "partial 16S ribosomal RNA". It matches the Rfam family "Bacterial small subunit ribosomal RNA", at positions 524 to 776 of the family's 1533-position model. The record is from RNAcentral.